GACGAACGCUGGCGGCGUGCUUAACACAUGCAAGUCGAACGGAAAGGCCCUGCUUUUGUGGGGUGCUCGAGUGGCGAACGGGUGAGUAACACGUGAGUAACCUGCCCUUGACUUUGAGAUAACUUCAGGAAACUGGGGCUAAUACCGGAUAGGAGCUCCUGCUGCAUGGUGGGGGUUGGAAAGUUUCGGCGGUUGGGGAUGGACUCGCGGCUUAUCAGCUUGUUGGUGGGGUAGUGGCUUACCAAGGCUUUGACGGGUAGCCGGCCUGAGAGGGUGACCGGCCACAUUGGGACUGAGAUACGGCCCAGACUCCUACGGGAGGCAGCAGUGGGGAAUAUUGCACAAUGGGCGGAAGCCUGAUGCAGCAACGCCGCGUGCGGGAUGACGGCCUUCGGGUUGUAAACCGCUUUCGCCUGUGACGAAGCGUGAGUGACGGUAAUGGGUAAAGAAGCACCGGCUAACUACGU
Molecule: ribosomal RNA, 467 nt
Filed under: uncultured bacterium
Lineage: Bacteria
Description: partial 16S ribosomal RNA
Rfam family: Bacterial small subunit ribosomal RNA
Source: RNAcentral